GACGAACGCUGGCGGCGUGCUUAAAAACAUGCAAGUCGAACGGACUUCUCAUGAAGCUUGCGAUUGAGAAGUUAGUGGCGGACGGGUGAGUAACGCGUGGGCAACCUGCCCCUGAGCCCGGGAUAACAGUUCGAAAGGACUGCUAAGACCGGAUAUACUUGCGGUGAAGCAUUUCACUGCAAGGAAAGGGAACGCUCAGGGAUGGGCCCGCGUCCCAUUAGCUAGUUGGUGAGGUAACGGCCCACCAAGGCGACGAUGGGUAGCCGGCCUGAGAGGGUGAACGGCCACACUGGGACUGAGACACGGCCCAGACUCCUACGGGAGGCAGCAGUGGGGAAUAUUGGACAAUGGGCGCAAGCCUGAUCCAGCAAUGCCGCGUGUGUGAAGAAGGUCUUCGGAUUGUAAAGCACUUUCGACGGGGACGAUGAUGACGGUACCCGUAGAAGAAGCCCCGGCUAACUCGUGCCAGCAGCCGCGGUAAUGUCACGUCG
This 491-nucleotide ribosomal RNA is filed under the name uncultured bacterium. RNAcentral's name for it is "bacterial SSU rRNA". It matches the Rfam family "Bacterial small subunit ribosomal RNA", at positions 28 to 530 of the family's 1533-position model. The record is from RNAcentral.